Molecule: ribosomal RNA, 1552 nt
Filed under: Enterobacter cloacae
Lineage: Bacteria; Pseudomonadati; Pseudomonadota; Gammaproteobacteria; Enterobacterales; Enterobacteriaceae
Description: bacterial SSU rRNA
Rfam family: Bacterial small subunit ribosomal RNA
Source: RNAcentral
AAAUUGAAGAGUUUGAUCAUGGCUCAGAUUGAACGCUGGCGGCAGGCCUAACACAUGCAAGUCGAACGGUAACAGGAAGCAGCUUGCUGCUUCGCUGACGAGUGGCGGACGGGUGAGUAAUGUCUGGGAAACUGCCUGAUGGAGGGGGAUAACUACUGGAAACGGUAGCUAAUACCGCAUAACGUCGCAAGACCAAAGAGGGGGACCUUCGGGCCUCUUGCCAUCGGAUGUGCCCAGAUGGGAUUAGCUAGUAGGUGGGGUAACGGCUCACCUAGGCGACGAUCCCUAGCUGGUCUGAGAGGAUGACCAGCCACACUGGAACUGAGACACGGUCCAGACUCCUACGGGAGGCAGCAGUGGGGAAUAUUGCACAAUGGGCGCAAGCCUGAUGCAGCCAUGCCGCGUGUGUGAAGAAGGCCUUCGGGUUGUAAAGCACUUUCAGCGGGGAGGAAGGCGGUAAGGUUAAUAACCUUGCCGAUUGACGUUACCCGCAGAAGAAGCACCGGCUAACUCCGUGCCAGCAGCCGCGGUAAUACGGAGGGUGCAAGCGUUAAUCGGAAUUACUGGGCGUAAAGCGCACGCAGGCGGUCUGUCAAGUCGGAUGUGAAAUCCCCGGGCUCAACCUGGGAACUGCAUUCGAAACUGGCAGGCUAGAGUCUUGUAGAGGGGGGUAGAAUUCCAGGUGUAGCGGUGAAAUGCGUAGAGAUCUGGAGGAAUACCGGUGGCGAAGGCGGCCCCCUGGACAAAGACUGACGCUCAGGUGCGAAAGCGUGGGGAGCAAACAGGAUUAGAUACCCUGGUAGUCCACGCCGUAAACGAUGUCGACUUGGAGGUUGUGCCCUUGAGGCGUGGCUUCCGGAGCUAACGCGUUAAGUCGACCGCCUGGGGAGUACGGCCGCAAGGUUAAAACUCAAAUGAAUUGACGGGGGCCCGCACAAGCGGUGGAGCAUGUGGUUUAAUUCGAUGCAACGCGAAGAACCUUACCUACUCUUGACAUCCAGAGAACUUUCCAGAGAUGGAUUGGUGCCUUCGGGAACUCUGAGACAGGUGCUGCAUGGCUGUCGUCAGCUCGUGUUGUGAAAUGUUGGGUUAAGUCCCGCAACGAGCGCAACCCUUAUCCUUUGUUGCCAGCGGUCCGGCCGGGAACUCAAAGGAGACUGCCAGUGAUAAACUGGAGGAAGGUGGGGAUGACGUCAAGUCAUCAUGGCCCUUACGAGUAGGGCUACACACGUGCUACAAUGGCGCAUACAAAGAGAAGCGACCUCGCGAGAGCAAGCGGACCUCAUAAAGUGCGUCGUAGUCCGGAUUGGAGUCUGCAACUCGACUCCAUGAAGUCGGAAUCGCUAGUAAUCGUAGAUCAGAAUGCUACGGUGAAUACGUUCCCGGGCCUUGUACACACCGCCCGUCACACCAUGGGAGUGGGUUGCAAAAGAAGUAGGUAGCUUAACCUUCGGGAGGGCGCUUACCACUUUGUGAUUCAUGACUGGGGUGAAGUCGUAACAAGGUAACCGUAGGGGAACCUGCGGUUGGAUCACCUCCUUACCUUAAAGAA